Molecule: non-coding RNA, 242 nt
Organism: Pelobates cultripes (western spadefoot toad)
Lineage: Eukaryota; Metazoa; Chordata; Amphibia; Anura; Pelobatidae
Source: the annotation of a GenBank genome assembly
CAUUUCUCUGUCAGAAGCCACUAGUCGGCGAUAUAUUGCCUGCAGGUUUGGUGAAAAUGUAAGCUCACUGCCUAUUUUCAAACAGUAAAUUAAGUACCAAUGGGUUACGUCACUCCUUCUGUCAGGGAGGGGGAAGGAGUGAGUGGACUCUACCUUCCCUGUCAGCAUUACAUUAUCAGUCCAGAAACUGAUAAAGAUUGAUAUAGCAGUUUUGAAUACUUUAUUUUAGAAAUAUAUGAUGC